RNAcentral lists this unclassified non-coding RNA (271 nucleotides) under Hevea brasiliensis (rubber tree). Lineage: Eukaryota; Viridiplantae; Streptophyta; Magnoliopsida; Malpighiales; Euphorbiaceae. The record is from RNAcentral.
CGUGAGAUAACUCCAGAAAGCUCGUCUUUAAUUGAUUCGACAAAGGAAGAGAAACCUUUAAUUGAUUCGACCUCGAUAAAUCAGUCGACCUCGAUAAAUCAGAGCUGAAGACCAUUGGCCGAUUGAAAUUCAUUUAUAAAGAAACUAAGUAGCUGUGAGGCCGAAGGCGAAGGCGGUGUUACCUCAUUGUUGUCGCUUCUGCUCUUUGUCUUCCUCUCAUUCUUCUCGGCCUUGAGGUUGAUGCUGGCGGCUGGUUCCUUUUCUUCUUAAA